UUCUCAUUCUUGUCCAAUUUUUCACCAACUACUAUGAGCCAAAAGUAGUAGUACUUCACCAAAAUGGGGUGGCUUCAAUCCCUACUCUGCCCAUUGAAGAAGCUUUGGCUUCGGAUCCAUUCAACCAAUAAAAGACGUAGAGGAUUAUACAUCUUAUACAAGGAUGUUAAGUCAUGCCCAUGUGAAGAUGUGCAAGUUCUUUGGUCAAUAUUGGUCGAGUCGGGUGCAGCCUCUACUUUGCCAUCAAAAUAUACACGCUAAGGGAUUUCAAUUAUCUACCUUUGGGUGAGUUUCGACAAAUUUGGAAGAGAAAAUUUGAAAAAAAAAAUGAAGAAAUAUGGAGAAAGAGAUGAGAUAGAUAGAAAGAAAGGCAGGUAUAUUUUGUUUCUGAUAGACAAUCUUUACCCCACAUCAAGACUAAUAUAUAUAGCGAGAGAAAAUAUAUUGACAUAGUUUCCCUUUCAAAUACUUGUAAAGUUUACCCAAAAAAAAUAAUUGUAAAGUUUUUUUUUUUUUUUUUUUUUUUACGAAUAAUAUAAUACUUGAUUCAACCCAAAAAGAAUAUAAUACUUGUAAAGAUAUUCAGCAUUUUUAUGUGCUGAUUUCUGGUGGCCUCUGCAUGAUUUAUAUAUAAUAUUUUUAAGGAA
This is a long non-coding RNA of Medicago truncatula (barrel medic), 647 nucleotides long. RefSeq lists it as uncharacterized. The transcript is spliced from 2 exons. Lineage: Eukaryota; Viridiplantae; Streptophyta; Magnoliopsida; Fabales; Fabaceae. The record is from RefSeq and is a predicted model, not a curated record.